UUUAAGUGCAGUUAUGGAUUUCCAUGUCCAACGUUUGAUUGUUUGUCUUAUCUGAAAUUUUUUUUAUGAUUAGUAUUUUUGUUGUUAUUAGAUGAUAAAAUAUGAAUAGUACUUUAUGCGUGACUUAUUUUUAUUUUUUUUAUAAGACGGGCUGUCAAAUGUUGGACACGGAAACUCACAACUGCACUUAAA
This is a microRNA precursor of Oryza sativa Japonica Group (Japanese rice), 192 nucleotides long. It matches the Rfam family "MIR812 microRNA precursor family". The record is from Rfam. Lineage: Eukaryota; Viridiplantae; Streptophyta; Magnoliopsida; Poales; Poaceae.